CUCGUGACGAUAGCGGUGAGGCCACACCUGUUCCCAUACCGAACACAGAAGUUAAGCUCACUUGCGCCGAAGGUACUUGUCUGGAAACGGGCCGGGAGAAUAGGGAGCCGCGGGGU
This 116-nucleotide ribosomal RNA is filed under the name Eubacteriaceae bacterium. Lineage: Bacteria; Bacillati; Bacillota; Clostridia; Eubacteriales; Eubacteriaceae. The record is from RNAcentral.